RNAcentral lists this ribosomal RNA (484 nucleotides) under uncultured bacterium. RNAcentral describes it as "partial 16S ribosomal RNA". It matches the Rfam family "Bacterial small subunit ribosomal RNA", at positions 30 to 507 of the family's 1533-position model. The record is from RNAcentral.
AUUGAACGCUGGCGGCAGGCCUAACACAUGCAAGUCGAGCGGAUGAAGGGAGCUUGCUCCUGGAUUCAGCGGCGGACGGGUGAGUAAUGCCUAGGAAUCUGCCUGGUAGUGGGGGAUAACGUCCGGAAACGGGCGCUAAUACCGCAUACGUCCUGCGGGAGCAAGUGGGGGAUCUUCGGACCUCACGCUAUCAGAUGAGCCUAGGUCGGAUUAGCUAGUUGGUGGGGUAAAGGCCUACCAAGGCGACGAUCCGUAACUGGUCUGAGAGGAUGAUCAGUCACACUAGAACUGAGACACGGUCCAGACUCCUACGGGAGGCAGCAGUGGGGAAUAUUGGACAGUGGGCGAAAGCCUGAUCCAGCCAUGCCGCGUGUGUGAAGAAGGUCUUCGGAUUGUAAAGCACUUUAAGUUGGGAGGAAGGGCAGUAAGUUAAUACCUUGCUGUUUUGACGUUACCAACAGAAUAAGCACCGGCUAACUUCGUG